This 426-nucleotide ribosomal RNA is filed under the name uncultured bacterium. RNAcentral's name for it is "partial 16S ribosomal RNA". It matches the Rfam family "Bacterial small subunit ribosomal RNA", at positions 354 to 796 of the family's 1533-position model. The record is from RNAcentral.
GUGAGGAAUUUUCCGCAAUGGACGAAAGCCUGACGGAGUAAUGCCGCGUGAAGGAUGAAGGCCUAUGGGUUGUAAACUUCUUUUCUCAGAAAAGAAUUAUGACGGUAUCUGAGGAAUAAGCAUCGGCUAACUCUGUGCCAGCAGCCGCGGUAAGACAGAGGAUGCAAGCGUUAUCCGGAAUGAUUGGGCGUAAAGCGUCUGUAGGUUGUUUAAAAAGUAUUCUGUCAAAGAUUAGGGCUUAACCCUAGAUAGGCAGAAUAAACUUUUAAGCUAGAGUUUGGUAGAGGCAGAGGGAAUUCCCGGUGGAGCGGUGAAAUGCGUAGAUAUCGGGAGGAACACCAAAGGCGAAGGCACUCUGCUGGGCCAAUACUAACACUGAGAGACGAAAGCGAGGGGAGCAAAUGGGAUUAGAUACCCGAGUAGUCC